GCGGAAGGCAGCAGUGGGGAAUAUUGCACAAUGGGCGAAAGCCUGAUGCAGCGACGCCGCGUGAGCGAAGAAGUAUUUCGGUAUGUAAAGCUCUAUCAGCAGGGAAGAUAAUGACGGUACCUGACUAAGAAGCACCGGCUAAAUACGUGCCAGCAGCCGCGGUAAUACGUAUGGUGCAAGCGUUAUCCGGAUUUACUGGGUGUAAAGGGAGCGUAGGCGGUUUUACAAGUCUGAUGUGAAAGCCCGGGGCUCAACUCCGGUAUUGCAUUGGAAACUGUAGAACUAGAGUGUCGGAGGGGUAAGUGGAAUUCCUAGUGUAGCGGUGAAAUGCGUAGAUAUUAGGAGGAACACCAGUGGCGAAGGCGGCUUACUGGACGAUUACUGACGCUGAGGCUCGAAAGCGUGGGGAGCAAACAGGAUUAGAUACCCUGGUA
Molecule: ribosomal RNA, 434 nt
Filed under: uncultured Pseudobutyrivibrio sp.
Lineage: Bacteria; Bacillati; Bacillota; Clostridia; Lachnospirales; Lachnospiraceae
Description: partial 16S ribosomal RNA
Rfam family: Bacterial small subunit ribosomal RNA
Source: RNAcentral